GCGGGUGUGAUGUAGUGGUAGCAUCAAAGCUUGCCAAGUUUUGCGCGCGAGUUCGAGUCUCGCCACUCGCU
This 71-nucleotide transfer RNA is filed under the name Oxynema aestuarii AP17. It matches the Rfam family "tRNA". Rfam says of the family: Transfer RNA (tRNA) molecules are approximately 80 nucleotides in length. Their secondary structure includes four short double-helical elements and three loops (D, anti-codon, and T loops). RNAcentral also lists the same sequence under 1 other name. The record is from Rfam by way of RNAcentral. Lineage: Bacteria; Bacillati; Cyanobacteriota; Cyanophyceae; Oscillatoriales; Oscillatoriaceae.